RNAcentral lists this ribosomal RNA (510 nucleotides) under uncultured bacterium. RNAcentral describes it as "partial 16S ribosomal RNA". It matches the Rfam family "Bacterial small subunit ribosomal RNA", at positions 28 to 507 of the family's 1533-position model. The record is from RNAcentral.
GACGAACGCUGGCGGCGUGCUUAACACAUGCAAGUCGAACGAAGAGCGAUGGAAGCUUGCUUCUAUCAAUCUUAGUGGCGAACGGGUGAGUAACGCGUAAUCAACCUGCCCUUCAGAGGGGGACAACAGUUGGAAACGACUGCUAAUACCGCAUACGAUCUAAUCUCGGCAUCGAGGAUAGAUGAAAGGUGGCCUCUACAUGUAAGCUAUCACUGAAGGAGGGGAUUGCGUCUGAUUAGCUAGUUGGAGGGGUAACGGCCCACCAAGGCGAUGAUCAGUAGCCGGUCUGAGAGGAUGAACGGCCACAUUGGGACUGAGACACGGCCCAGACUCCCACGGGAGGCAGCAGUGGGGAAUCUUCCGCAAUGGACGAAAGUCUGACGGAGCAACGCCGCGUGAGUGAUGACGGCCUUCGGGUUGUAAAGCUCUGUUAAUCGGGACGAAAGGCCUUCUUGCGAAUAGUGAGAAGGAUUGACGGUACCGGAAUAGAAAGCCACGGCUAACUACGUG